CGGCCGGGCCCGGACAAGCUGUGCCUGCAGAACUUGGUCAGGCGCGGAAGCGAGCAGCCACAUGCCAGACAUUGCUGUGUUUGGAAAACCCGGCCGCUU
RNAcentral lists this signal recognition particle RNA (99 nucleotides) under Planctomycetota bacterium. RNAcentral's name for it is "Planctomycetes bacterium (groundwater metagenome) signal recognition particle sRNA small type". It matches the Rfam family "Bacterial small signal recognition particle RNA". Rfam says of the family: The signal recognition particle (SRP) is a universally conserved ribonucleoprotein involved in the co-translational targeting of proteins to membranes. Lineage: Bacteria; Pseudomonadati; Planctomycetota. The record is from RNAcentral.